UACGGAGGGUGCAAGCAUUAAUCGGAUUUAUUGGGCAUAAAGGGCGCGUAGGCGGACCGGCAAGUCAGAUGUGAAAUCCUGAGGCUCAACCUCAGAACAGCAUUUGAAACUCCCGGUCUUGAGGGUAGGCGGAGAAAACGGAAUUCCACAAGUAGCGGUGAAAUGCGUAGAUAUGUGGAAGAACAUCGGUGGCGAAGGCGGUUUUCUAGCUUAUUUCCUGACGCUGAGGCGCGAAAGCAAGGGGAUCAAACAGG
This 254-nucleotide ribosomal RNA is filed under the name uncultured bacterium. Its description in RNAcentral is "partial 16S ribosomal RNA". It matches the Rfam family "Bacterial small subunit ribosomal RNA", at positions 524 to 776 of the family's 1533-position model. The record is from RNAcentral.